RNAcentral lists this ribosomal RNA (159 nucleotides) under uncultured bacterium. RNAcentral describes it as "partial 16S ribosomal RNA". It matches the Rfam family "Bacterial small subunit ribosomal RNA", at positions 340 to 516 of the family's 1533-position model. The record is from RNAcentral.
UACGGGAGGCAGCAGUGGGGAAUAUUGGACAAUGGGCGCAAGCCUGAUCCAGCCAUGCCGCGUGAGUGAUGAAGGCCCUAGGGUUGUAAAGCUCUUUCACCGGUGAAGAUAAUGACGGUAACCGGAGAAGAAGCCCCGGCUAACUUCGUGCCAGCAGCC